This 76-nucleotide transfer RNA is filed under the name Cellulomonas gilvus ATCC 13127. RNAcentral describes it as "tRNA-Thr". It matches the Rfam family "tRNA". From Rfam's summary of the family: Transfer RNA (tRNA) molecules are approximately 80 nucleotides in length. Their secondary structure includes four short double-helical elements and three loops (D, anti-codon, and T loops). The record is from RNAcentral. Lineage: Bacteria; Bacillati; Actinomycetota; Actinomycetes; Micrococcales; Cellulomonadaceae. RNAcentral also lists the same sequence under 1 other name.
GCCGCCUUAGCUCAGUCGGCAGAGCGUCUCACUCGUAAUGAGAAGGUCAAGGGUUCGAUUCCCUUAGGCGGCUCCC